RNAcentral lists this ribosomal RNA (751 nucleotides) under Micromonospora chalcea. Its description in RNAcentral is "bacterial SSU rRNA". It matches the Rfam family "Bacterial small subunit ribosomal RNA", at positions 138 to 902 of the family's 1533-position model. Lineage: Bacteria; Bacillati; Actinomycetota; Actinomycetes; Micromonosporales; Micromonosporaceae. The record is from RNAcentral.
UUGGGAUAACCCCGGGAAACCGGGGCUAAUACCGGAUAUGACCUUGCACCGCAUGGUGUUUGGUGGAAAGUUUUUCGGCUUGGGAUGGGCUCGCGGCCUAUCAGCUUGUUGGUGGGGUGAUGGCCUACCAAGGCGACGACGGGUAGCCGGCCUGAGAGGGCGACCGGCCACACUGGGACUGAGACACGGCCCAGACUCCUACGGGAGGCAGCAGUGGGGAAUAUUGCACAAUGGGCGGAAGCCUGAUGCAGCGACGCCGCGUGAGGGAUGACGGCCUUCGGGUUGUAAACCUCUUUCAGCAGGGACGAAGCGUAAGUGACGGUACCUGCAGAAGAAGCGCCGGCCAACUACGUGCCAGCAGCCGCGGUAAGACGUAGGGCGCGAGCGUUGUCCGGAUUUAUUGGGCGUAAAGAGCUCGUAGGCGGCUUGUCGCGUCGACCGUGAAAACCUGGGGCUCAACCCCAGGCCUGCGGUCGAUACGGGCAGGCUAGAGUUCGGUAGGGGAGACUGGAAUUCCUGGUGUAGCGGUGAAAUGCGCAGAUAUCAGGAGGAACACCGGUGGCGAAGGCGGGUCUCUGGGCCGAUACUGACGCUGAGGAGCGAAAGCGUGGGGAGCGAACAGGAUUAGAUACCCUGGUAGUCCACGCUGUAAACGUUGGGCGCUAGGUGUGGGGGGCCUCUCCGGUUCCCUGUGCCGCAGCUAACGCAUUAAGCGCCCCGCCUGGGGAGUACGGCCGCAAGGCUAAAACUC